GGGGAAUUUUGCGCAAUGGACGAAAGUCUGACGCAGCAACGCCGCGUGGGUGAUGAAGGUCUUCGGAUCGUAAAACCCUGUCGUCAGGGACGAAGGGUUACGGCCUAAUACGUCGUAGCCUUGACGGUACCUGGAGAGGAAGCCCCGGCUAACUCUGUGCCAGCAGCCGCGGUAAUACAUAGGGGGCAAGCGUUAUUCGGGAUUAUUGGGCGUAAAGGGCGCGUAGGCGGUGAUUUAAGUGAGAUGUGCAAUCCCCGAGCUUAACUUGGGAACUGCAUCUCAGACUGGGUCGCUAGAGUGCUGGAGAGGGUGGUAGAAUUCCACGUGUAGCGGUGAAAUGCGUAGAGAUGUGGAGGAAUACCAGUGGCGAAGGCGGCCACCUGGACAGUAACUGACGCUGAGGCGCGAAAGUGUGGGGAGCAAAC
RNAcentral lists this ribosomal RNA (425 nucleotides) under uncultured bacterium. RNAcentral describes it as "bacterial SSU rRNA". It matches the Rfam family "Bacterial small subunit ribosomal RNA", at positions 356 to 773 of the family's 1533-position model. The record is from RNAcentral.